RNAcentral lists this ribosomal RNA (906 nucleotides) under Kellermania pseudoyuccigena. RNAcentral describes it as "eukaryotic LSU rRNA". It matches the Rfam family "Eukaryotic large subunit ribosomal RNA", at positions 38 to 962 of the family's 3401-position model. The record is from RNAcentral. Lineage: Eukaryota; Fungi; Ascomycota; Dothideomycetes; Botryosphaeriales; Planistromellaceae.
GCAUAUCAAUAAGCGGAGGAAAAGAAACCAACAGGGAUUGCCUCAGUAACGGCGAGUGAAGCGGCAACAGCUCAAAUUUGAAAUCUGGCGCCUUCGGCGUCCGAGUUGUAAUUUGUAGAGGAUGUUUCGGCGAGGGCUCCCGUCUAAGUCCCUUGGAACAGGGCGUCGCAGAGGGUGAGAAUCCCGUAUGUGAUGGGUUGCUCGAGCCAUGUGAAACUCCUUCGACGAGUCGAGUUGUUUGGGAAUGCAGCUCUAAAUGGGAGGUAAAUUUCUUCUAAAGCUAAAUACCGGCCAGAGACCGAUAGCGCACAAGUAGAGUGAUCGAAAGAUGAAAAGCACUUUGGAAAGAGAGUUAAAAAGUACGUGAAAUUGUUGAAAGGGAAGCGCUUGCAACCAGACUCGCGCGCAGUUGCUCAGCCGGUCUCCUGACCGGUGUACUCUUCUGCGUCCGGGCCAGCAUCAGUUCGGGCGGUCGGAUAAAGGCCUCGGGAAUGUGGCUCCCCUCGGGGAGUGUUAUAGCCCGGGGUGCAAUGCGGCCAGCCUGGACUGAGGAACUCGCUUCGGCUAGGAUGCUGGCGUAAUGGUUGUAAGCGGCCCGUCUUGAAACACGGACCAAGGAGUCUAACAUCUAUGCGAGUGUUUGGGUGUCAAACCCAUGCGCGUAAUGAAAGUGAACGGAGGUGGGAACCCUCACGGGUGCACCAUCGACCGAUCCUGAUGUCUUCGGAUGGAUUUGAGUAAGAGCAUAGCUGUUGGGACCCGAAAGAUGGUGAACUAUGCCUGAAUAGGGUGAAGCCAGAGGAAACUCUGGUGGAGGCUCGCAGCGGUUCUGACGUGCAAAUCGAUCGUCAAAUUUGGGUAUAGGGGCGAAAGACUAAUCGAACCAUCUAGUAGCUGGUUCCUGCC